GAGGCACUAGUAAACCAAAUUAUAUCGCCUUGUCAAGGCGAAGUCGCAAGUUAAAAUCCUGCGUACCUCA
Molecule: transfer RNA, 70 nt
Filed under: Scleropages jardinii (Australian bonytongue)
Lineage: Eukaryota; Metazoa; Chordata; Actinopteri; Osteoglossiformes; Osteoglossidae
Description: tRNA-Asp
Rfam family: tRNA
About the family: Transfer RNA (tRNA) molecules are approximately 80 nucleotides in length. Their secondary structure includes four short double-helical elements and three loops (D, anti-codon, and T loops). Further hydrogen bonds mediate the characteristic L-shaped molecular structure. tRNAs have two regions of fundamental functional importance: the anti-codon, which is responsible for specific mRNA codon recognition, and the 3' end, to which the tRNAs corresponding amino acid is attached (by aminoacyl-tRNA synthetases). tRNAs cope with the degeneracy of the genetic code in two manners: having more than one tRNA (with a specific anti-codon) for a particular amino acid; and 'wobble' base-pairing, i.e. permitting non-standard base-pairing at the 3rd anti-codon position.
Source: RNAcentral